This 85-nucleotide transfer RNA is filed under the name Candidatus Pacearchaeota archaeon. RNAcentral's name for it is "tRNA-Asp". It matches the Rfam family "tRNA". Rfam says of the family: Transfer RNA (tRNA) molecules are approximately 80 nucleotides in length. Their secondary structure includes four short double-helical elements and three loops (D, anti-codon, and T loops). Lineage: Archaea; Nanobdellati. The record is from RNAcentral.
GCCACGGUAGCCUUAAUGGUAAGGCGCUCGCUUGUCGAGCGAGUUCUCCCCAAGAGAAUUCCGGGUUCGAAUCCCGGCCGUGGCG